This 1472-nucleotide ribosomal RNA is filed under the name Lactiplantibacillus plantarum. RNAcentral's name for it is "bacterial SSU rRNA". It matches the Rfam family "Bacterial small subunit ribosomal RNA". The record is from RNAcentral. Lineage: Bacteria; Bacillati; Bacillota; Bacilli; Lactobacillales; Lactobacillaceae.
UUUCGGGGGUGCCUUAUUCAUGCAAGUCGAACGAACUCUGGUAUUGAUUGGUGCUUGCAUCAUGAUUUACAUUUGAGUGAGUGGCGAACUGGUGAGUAACACGUGGGAAACCUGCCCAGAAGCGGGGGAUAACACCUGGAAACAGAUGCUAAUACCGCAUAACAACUUGGACCGCAUGGUCCGAGCUUGAAAGAUGGCUUCGGCUAUCACUUUUGGAUGGUCCCGCGGCGUAUUAGCUAGAUGGUGGGGUAACGGCUCACCAUGGCAAUGAUACGUAGCCGACCUGAGAGGGUAAUCGGCCACAUUGGGACUGAGACACGGCCCAAACUCCUACGGGAGGCAGCAGUAGGGAAUCUUCCACAAUGGACGAAAGUCUGAUGGAGCAACGCCGCGUGAGUGAAGAAGGGUUUCGGCUCGUAAAACUCUGUUGUUAAAGAAGAACAUAUCUGAGAGUAACUGUUCAGGUAUUGACGGUAUUUAACCAGAAAGCCACGGCUAACUACGUGCCAGCAGCCGCGGUAAUACGUAGGUGGCAAGCGUUGUCCGGAUUUAUUGGGCGUAAAGCGAGCGCAGGCGGUUUUUUAAGUCUGAUGUGAAAGCCUUCGGCUCAACCGAAGAAGUGCAUCGGAAACUGGGAAACUUGAGUGCAGAAGAGGACAGUGGAACUCCAUGUGUAGCGGUGAAAUGCGUAGAUAUAUGGAAGAACACCAGUGGCGAAGGCGGCUGUCUGGUCUGUAACUGACGCUGAGGCUCGAAAGUAUGGGUAGCAAACAGGAUUAGAUACCCUGGUAGUCCAUACCGUAAACGAUGAAUGCUAAGUGUUGGAGGGUUUCCGCCCUUCAGUGCUGCAGCUAACGCAUUAAGCAUUCCGCCUGGGGAGUACGGCCGCAAGGCUGAAACUCAAAGGAAUUGACGGGGGCCCGCACAAGCGGUGGAGCAUGUGGUUUAAUUCGAAGCUACGCGAAGAACCUUACCAGGUCUUGACAUACUAUGCAAAUCUAAGAGAUUAGACGUUCCCUUCGGGGACAUGGAUACAGGUGGUGCAUGGUUGUCGUCAGCUCGUGUCGUGAGAUGUUGGGUUAAGUCCCGCAACGAGCGCAACCCUUAUUAUCAGUUGCCAGCAUUAAGUUGGGCACUCUGGUGAGACUGCCGGUGACAAACCGGAGGAAGGUGGGGAUGACGUCAAAUCAUCAUGCCCCUUAUGACCUGGGCUACACACGUGCUACAAUGGAUGGUACAACGAGUUGCGAACUCGCGAGAGUAAGCUAAUCUCUUAAAGCCAUUCUCAGUUCGGAUUGUAGGCUGCAACUCGCCUACAUGAAGUCGGAAUCGCUAGUAAUCGCGGAUCAGCAUGCCGCGGUGAAUACGUUCCCGGGCCUUGUACACACCGCCCGUCACACCAUGAGAGUUUGUAACACCCAAAGUCGGUGGGGUAACCUUUUAGGAACCAGCCGCCUAAGGGGGGCCCCAGG